GAUGAAGAACGCAGCGAAAUGCGAUACGUAAUGUGAAUUGCAAAUUCAGUGAAUCAUCGAGUCUUUGAACGCACAUUGCGCCCCCUGGUAUUCCGGGGGGCAUGCCUGUCCGAGCGUCAUUGCUGCCCUCAAGCACGGCUUGUGUGUUGGGCCCCGUCCUCCGAUCCCGGGGGACGGGCCCGAAAGGCAGCGGCGGCACCGCGUCCGGUCCUCGAGCGUAUGGGGCUUUGUCACCCGCUCUGUAGGCCCGGCCGGCGCUUGCCGAUCAACCCAAAUUUUUAUCCAGGUUGACCUCGGAUCAGAUAGGGAUACCCGCUGAACUUAAGCAUAUCAAUAAGCGGAGGA
RNAcentral lists this unclassified non-coding RNA (345 nucleotides) under soil metagenome. Its description in RNAcentral is "partial contains 5.8S ribosomal RNA, internal transcribed spacer 2, and large subunit ribosomal RNA". The stretch from base 1 to 119 matches the Rfam family "5.8S ribosomal RNA", at positions 35 to 154 of the family's 154-position model. The record is from RNAcentral.